UUCAAUCGGAAUGGGUUUUGUGGGUCGAGAUUUGCUCAAAUUAUGGAUCAAUUGUCGGCUAUCCGAUUUGUAUUGGAUCCGGUCUUCUCGAUCAGCCUGAGAUUCUCGAGAGCAUGUUCAUGGGGGGAGAGUUGUAAUAGUCACGAAUAAUACUGUUGGACCAUUGUAUCUAGAUAAAGUUAACCACAAUCUUGAAUAGGACACUCAUGGAAGUCUUUGACAAGGCUAUCGAGUCGAGGCUCGAUCGGUGAUGUACGUUUGUCGCCCUUGGAGGUGGUGUCAUUGGUGAUAUGAGUGGUUAUGCUGCUGCUUCUUUCCUUCGUGGGGUUAACUUCAUUCAGAUUCCCACAACCGUUAUGGCACAAGUGGACUCUUCUGUUGGGGGAAAGACAGGGAUAAAUCAUCCUCUGGGAAAGAACUUGAUUGCCGCAUUUUACCAAGCAUGUUGACAAGAAGGUUGCUGAUGGGCUACGAAGGCUCGUUCUCUUGAAAGGUCCUUUAGGUGUGUUCACCAAUGAUUAUGAUCAAAAGGCGU
Cucurbita maxima (winter squash) is the source of this 535-nucleotide long non-coding RNA. RefSeq lists it as uncharacterized. The transcript is spliced from 4 exons. The record is from RefSeq and is a predicted model, not a curated record. NCBI's taxonomy places the organism in Eukaryota, Viridiplantae, Streptophyta, Magnoliopsida, Cucurbitales, Cucurbitaceae.